AAUACGCCACGGAAAUGCUUUGGCAUUCGGAUGGUAUGGCGAGCCUCGCCGUCCACGUUUCUCUUUCUUCAAGAAGACAAAGAACCGCGUCGAUCCGGAUGGCUGAUUGCUGUCUGGACCGGUUUGACGAGAAUGGGCCCGUAGCUCAGUUGGUUAGAGCACACGCUUGAUAAGCGUGGG
This 180-nucleotide unclassified non-coding RNA is filed under the name uncultured Rhizobiaceae bacterium. RNAcentral's name for it is "partial 16S-23S ribosomal RNA intergenic spacer". The stretch from base 135 to 180 matches the Rfam family "tRNA", at positions 1 to 44 of the family's 71-position model. The record is from RNAcentral. Lineage: Bacteria; Pseudomonadati; Pseudomonadota; Alphaproteobacteria; Hyphomicrobiales; Rhizobiaceae.